GUUAAAUAACCAGAUUGUGAGCCCC
RNAcentral lists this non-coding RNA (25 nucleotides) under Cricetulus griseus (Chinese hamster). The record is from RNAcentral. Lineage: Eukaryota; Metazoa; Chordata; Mammalia; Rodentia; Cricetidae.